RNAcentral lists this small RNA (114 nucleotides) under Marmota monax (woodchuck). The record is from RNAcentral. Lineage: Eukaryota; Metazoa; Chordata; Mammalia; Rodentia; Sciuridae.
GCUGAGUUUUGUGGUGCACACCUCUAAUCCUAGCUGCUCAGGAGGCUGAGGCAGGAGGAUCUCUAGAGCCCAGCAGUUCAGGGACCUGGGCAACAGAAGGAGACCCUGCCCCCC